This 119-nucleotide ribosomal RNA is filed under the name Cottoperca gobio. The record is from RNAcentral. Lineage: Eukaryota; Metazoa; Chordata; Actinopteri; Perciformes; Bovichtidae.
GAUUACGGCCAUACCACACUGACAAUGCCCGAUCUCGUCUGAUCUCGGAAGCUAAGCAGAGUUGGGCUGGGUCAGUACUUGGAUGGGUGACCGCCUGGGAAUACCCGGUGCUGUAAGCA